This is a non-coding RNA of Microcebus murinus (gray mouse lemur), 1196 nucleotides long. Lineage: Eukaryota; Metazoa; Chordata; Mammalia; Primates; Cheirogaleidae. The record is from RefSeq and is a predicted model, not a curated record.
GCUAUAUAUAAUGACACUGCACUCUGGCCUGGGGGACAGCGCGAGACCCUGUUUCAAAAAAAAAAAAAGACUUUCCCUCCUACCCUUGCCCCCUUAUUUAAUUCUUAGAAUUAAAAAAGAAAUCGCUGGGCAGAAACGAGCAGAGAUUUAAGUUUGCACUUACAUCAGCCAUGUGGAUGGGGAAUGCAGUUGUGCCUGAAGCUGUGGAAAGCGAAACUAGCUCUGCAGCCCUGCAGAAUGUGUUAAGCUCCCCCCACCCCAAGCACCUUGAGAAGAACAUUAUUGAAUUCGUAUCUACUCUUGUAGCUUGGUGAAGGGUGAGGGGAAAGAACGAUCUUCCAGCCUAUUGCCAGAGCUUAACAGCCCCAGUUAACAAUGUCUUAUGAGGUGGUUCUGCAAACGUACUGGGGACCUACCCUGCAAGUGGCUGUGCAGCAGGUACUACUGAAUCCAAUCUUGUAGCCCCAGUCAACCACACAGCAGGAGGUUUAAUGUCAAUUUGCCGAGGAGGAGAUUUCAACCUGGAAUACCAUGGAGAUUGCCAAGGAGUUGAGCCCCUUAAGAAUCAGUGGGAAUAGCAAAAGGAUUCAGAAGACAAGACCUAUGGCUAAAAGCUGCCCCUUCCCAGUUGAUCUGGUGUGGUCUCUGUAUGAAUGCUGCCAUGGGUAUGAAGAGGCAGCAACUUGGAGGCUGUCCACUAACCACACUCCUUGCAGCAGGUUCUGAGCAGCACAGCUUCUUGGCCACCAGAGUCACGUAUCACAGUUUGUGCAGUGAUAGUAUUAGAUGGUGGAGCCUUUGGAGGUGAUUGGGUCAUGAGUGGAGUCCUCAUGAGUGGGAUCAGUGUCCUUACAAAGCAACCCCAGAGAGUUCUCCUUCCACCAAGUGAAGACACAGCAAGAAAGCACCGUCUGUGCACCUUCACCAGAACGUAAUCAUGCCGGUGCCUUUUUCUUGGACUUCUAGCCUCUAGAACCAUGAGAAAUAAAUGUCUGUUGUCUAAGAGCUAUCCAGUUUAAUGUAUUGUUAUAGCAGCCUGAACAGACCAAGACACAUAUGUUCAUAGCAGUAUUAUUCUCAAUAGCUAAGAGGCAGAAGCAACCCAGGUAUCCAACAAUGGAUGUUGAAUGGAUAGACAAAAUGGAGUAGAUACAUACAAUGCAAUAUUACUCAGCUUUGAAAGGGAAGGAAAUUCU